UACGUAGGGUGCAAGCGUUGUCCGGAAUUAUUGGGCGUAAAGAGCGUGUAGGCGGCCCGAUUAGUCUGCUGUGAAAGUCCAGGGCUCAACCCUGGAAUGCCGGUGGAUACUGUCGGGCUAGAGUCCGGAAGGGGCGAGUGGAAUUCCUGGUGUAGCGGUGAAAUGCGCAGAUAUCAGGAAGAACACCAAUGGCGAAGGCAGCUCUCUGGGACGGUACUGACGCUGAGACGCGAAAGCGUGGGGAGCGAACAGG
This 253-nucleotide ribosomal RNA is filed under the name uncultured bacterium. RNAcentral's name for it is "partial 16S ribosomal RNA". It matches the Rfam family "Bacterial small subunit ribosomal RNA", at positions 524 to 776 of the family's 1533-position model. The record is from RNAcentral.